Saccostrea cuccullata (small rock oyster) is the source of this 284-nucleotide long non-coding RNA. RefSeq lists it as uncharacterized. NCBI's taxonomy places the organism in Eukaryota, Metazoa, Mollusca, Bivalvia, Ostreida, Ostreidae. The transcript has 2 exons. The record is from RefSeq and is a predicted model, not a curated record.
UUCAAGAUUUAUGGUAAGUGAUUUAAAUUAUGCAAAUUAUAAAGAGAGAUUGGAAUGUCUUGCAAGAUUCGACUAGUUGCAAAUCUGUGUUAUUUAUGUCUCUGAAUAUAUUAAGAAUACAUAAUCAAAAAAAUUUACAGGUAAUAAUGCCAUCUAGUUUUCCUUAAUGAAUUUACAGGAAAUAAAAUCAAAAGAUUUGCAAAUAUAAUUGAUUCCACUAGGUAUGUCCAUGAUGAGGAAAGCCCAGGAUGUCAAAUCAUAUUUCAAAACAACAGAUUUUCAAG